AGAGUUUGAUCAUGGCUCAGGAUGAACGCUGGCGGUAUGCCUAAUACAUGCAAGUCGAACGCAUUCUCGUUUUAGAUUGACGGUGCUUGCACCAGAUUGAAAAGACAUUUGAAUGAGUGGCGGACGGGUGAGUAACACGUGGGUAACCUGCCCAAAAGUGGGGGAUAACAUUUGGAAACAAAUGCUAAUACCGCAUAAAAGUUAGAACCGCAUGGUUCUAAUUUGAAAGAUGGUUUCGGCUAUCACUUUUGGAUGGACCCGCGGCGUAUUAGUUAGUUGGUGAGGUAAUGGCUCACCAAGACAAUGAUACGUAGCCGAACUGAGAGGUUGAUCGGCCACAAUGGGACUGAGACACGGCCCAUACUCCUACGGGAGGCAGCAGUAGGGAAUCUUCCACAAUGGGCGCAAGCCUGAUGGAGCAAUACCGCGUGAGUGAAGAAGGGUUUCGGCUCGUAAAACUCUGUUGUUGGAGAAGAACGUAUGUGAUAGUAACUGAUCAUGUAGUGACGGUAUCCAACCAGAAAGCCACGGCUAACUACGUGCCAGCAGCCGCGGUAAUACGUAGGUGGCAAGCGUUAUCCGGAUUUAUUGGGCGUAAAGCGAGCGCAGGCGGUUUUUUAAGUCUGAUGUGAAAGCCCUUGGCUCAACCAAGGAAGUGCAUCGGAAACUGGAGAACUUGAGUGCAGAAGAGGACAGUGGAACUCCAUGUGUAGCGGUGAAAUGCGUAGAUAUAUGGAAGAACACCAGUGGCGAAGGCGGCUGUCUGGUCUGUAACUGACGCUGAGGCUCGAAAGCAUGGGUAGCGAACAGGAUUAGAUACCCUGGUAGUCCAUGCCGUAAACGAUGAAUGCUAGGUGUUGGAGGGUUUCCGCCCUUCAGUGCCGCAGCUAACGCAUUAAGCAUUCCGCCUGGGGAGUACGACCGCAAGGUUGAAACUCAAA
Molecule: ribosomal RNA, 941 nt
Filed under: uncultured Bacilli bacterium
Lineage: Bacteria; Bacillati; Bacillota; Bacilli
Description: bacterial SSU rRNA
Rfam family: Bacterial small subunit ribosomal RNA
Source: RNAcentral